UGAGGAAUAUUGGUCAAUGGGCGAGAGCCUGAACCAGCCAAGUAGCGUGCAGGAUGACGGCCCUAUGGGUUGUAAACUGCUUUUAUAUGGGAAUAAAGUGAGGGACGUGUCCCUUAUUGCAUGUACCAUACGAAUAAGGACCGGCUAAUUCCGUGCCAGCAGCCGCGGUAAUACGGAAGGUCCAGGCGUUAUCCGGAUUUAUUGGGUUUAAAGGGAGCGUAGGCUGUUUGUUAAGCGUGUUGUGAAAUGUAAGAGCUCAACUUUUAGAUUGCAGCGCGAACUAGCAGACUUGAGUGCGCACAACGUAGGCGGAAUUCAUGGUGUAGCGGUGAAAUGCUUAGAUAUCAUGACGAACUCCGAUUGCGAAGGCAGCUUACGGGAGCGCAACUGACGCUAAAGCUCGAAGGUGCGGGUAUCGAACAGG
Molecule: ribosomal RNA, 424 nt
Filed under: Verrucomicrobiota bacterium
Lineage: Bacteria; Pseudomonadati; Verrucomicrobiota
Description: Verrucomicrobia bacterium partial 16S ribosomal RNA
Rfam family: Bacterial small subunit ribosomal RNA
Source: RNAcentral